AGAGUUUGAUCAUGGCUCAGGAUGAACGCUAGCUACAGGCUUAACACAUGCAAGUCGAGGGGCAGCAUGUUGGUUGCUUGCAACCAACGAUGGCGACCGGCGCACGGGUGAGUAACGCGUAUCCAACCUACCCUUGUCCAUCGGAUAACCCGUCGAAAGGCGGCCUAACACGAUAUGCGGUUCACAGCAGGCAUCUAACGUGAGCGAAAUGUGAAGGAGAAGGAUGGGGAUGCGUCUGAUUAGCUUGUUGGCGGGGUAACGCCACAAGGCUACGAUCAGUAGGGGUUCUGAGAGGAACGGUCCCCCANAUUGGAACUGAGACACGGUCCAAACUCCUACGGGAGGCA
Molecule: ribosomal RNA, 347 nt
Filed under: uncultured bacterium
Lineage: Bacteria
Description: bacterial SSU rRNA
Rfam family: Bacterial small subunit ribosomal RNA
Source: RNAcentral